This 398-nucleotide long non-coding RNA is filed under the name Homo sapiens (human). RNAcentral's name for it is "non-protein coding lnc-AKR1D1-1:2". The record is from RNAcentral. Lineage: Eukaryota; Metazoa; Chordata; Mammalia; Primates; Hominidae.
AGUGUUCUGUGCACGCUGGGGGUUUUGCUUUGAAAUGGUGGUGCUGUGUGCUGUUCAUUCUUCAUACAGUCAGGGUUCCUACUUCUGGGCAGGGAAUUCAGGUGCCAGAGAUAGAUAAAUACUUCAGCUUAAAAAAGGGAAAGAAGAGGAGGAGGAGGAGGAAGAGGAGAAGGAGGAGGAGGAAGCAGAGAAGGAGGAGGAGGAGGAGAAAAGGAUUUGAAGAAAUUGAAUCAGUUCUGGAACAGCAGACACAGCAGUUCUGAAAUCAAAGUGCCUAAAAGGAGUCCACCCGGAUAUGUGGAAGCAAGAGGGAGUUAAUGACAAUGGAUUCACAAUGCUGAAGCUCGAAAAUUCUGGGAAUUUGAGGCCCCAAGACACCCCAUAGGUGGGGUACAGAG